AGAGUCUUGUGUUUACAGGCUCAGUGCUGUAGAGUUCUGCUGCUGCGGUAUGUCGCAAAUUCCUGGUUCGGGCACUUCUUCGAGUAUGUCUACUGACCGUGUUGAAGACCGGGAAGUAGAUGUGUUCGAGAGAUUAAUGCGUUCAUCGCUGAAAGAUGUAUGUAUUGACAGAGAAGGCGACAUCCAUGGAUUUUGCGAGACAGAAGAGGAUGUUGUUCAUCUUCUGGGCAACUUGCGCGUCCAUGGCUACGCAUACUCAGUUAGAAGAAGUGCGUAUUAUCGCCAGCCCCCUUCAGGUGCUGCUAAAUGUACUCUGUGUUCUUGUGCCACAUUUAAAAGCAGCAUUCAGAUCAGCUUUUUUUGGUUCUUUUGUAUUGCAUGGGAGCAAUGGGCAAGCCACAAGCAAAAUUUACAAAAGAGUUGCAGUUGCAGAUCACGUUGGCAACAUCAAGGUGACACAGUUGUCUUCUCCCAGCAGCGAGAGGCAAUGCUGUGAUCAUUCCUCUGAACCACCUCCUCUCGUGGAAAGUGUAAUUGACGCACAAUGCUUACCCAGGUGUGGUAGUCCCUACCGUUAAAAAUAAGGUUGCUGUGGCACAUUACCUGGUUGUGUAUCAUCAAGUCAAGACCGUAUCAGUCCAAGGGAAAAUAUAAUGAACACAAAUGAGUGAGUGCUCAGCUACAGUUUCAGACAAAUGGCUGAAUUUUCCAGGUUUUCUGUACAGUGAACAAAUUACCACAUGGAGACAGAAGU
Schistocerca americana (American grasshopper) is the source of this 754-nucleotide RNA transcript. RefSeq lists it as uncharacterized. The transcript has 4 exons. Lineage: Eukaryota; Metazoa; Arthropoda; Insecta; Orthoptera; Acrididae. The record is from RefSeq and is a predicted model, not a curated record.